CCGGAGUUGCUUUGGAGUAGGCGAUCCGUUCUCCUCCGAAGCGUAGCGCCUGGUAUCAACCUCCUAUGUCCUUCCCCGCAACCCGAAGAAAAUCGAAUCUCAGAAACCAUAAGAUCCUAAGGAAACUUGCUGAAACUCCUGGAAAUGCCUCCUCCAAGGAAGGACAUUUUCCCAGGCAACAGCUGGAGAAGAUCAACAAUUAAAACUCAGGUUGGCGCAUCGUUUUAAAAAAAAAACAACUGGCUAUCCAGGAAUCUGGAGGUUUGAGGUGUGGAGCCUCAUGGUUGAAUUCAAGUUUCAAAGCUUAUAAUGACCCAGAAAAUAUAUUUGCUUAAUGAAUCAAGGAAACUGCA
Molecule: long non-coding RNA, 353 nt
Organism: Delphinapterus leucas (beluga whale)
Lineage: Eukaryota; Metazoa; Chordata; Mammalia; Artiodactyla; Monodontidae
Source: RefSeq, a predicted model, not a curated record